Molecule: ribosomal RNA, 870 nt
Filed under: Triticum aestivum (bread wheat)
Lineage: Eukaryota; Viridiplantae; Streptophyta; Magnoliopsida; Poales; Poaceae
Description: partial small subunit ribosomal RNA
Source: RNAcentral
AUGGGACAUCCGUCCUCCGGCGGCAUGGGGCAGCCCAAGCUCCGCAAGGGGCUGUGGUCACCCGUGGAAGACGAGAAGCUCUACAACCACAUCAUCCGGCACGGCGUCGGCUGCUGGAGCUCCGUCCCCAGGCUAGCCGGGCUGCACCGCUGCGGCAAGAGCUGUCGCUUCCGGUGGCUCAACUACCUCCGCCCCGACCUCAGGCGCGGCAGCUUCUCGCAGCAGGAGGAGGACCACAUCGUCGCGCUCCACCAGAUCCUCGGCAACAGGUGGUCGCAGAUCGCGUCGCGCCUGCCGGGCCGGACGGACAACGAGAUCAAGAACUUCUGGAACAGCUGCAUCAAGAAGAAGCUCCGGCAGCAGGGCAUCGACCCGGCCACGCAGAAGCCCAAGGGUAUGGCCACCGCGGCAUUGCCGGACGUCGAAAUGGAAGACCGUAAGGCCCUUUCCACGGUGGUCGACGGCGGCCUCGCUCAGAAGCAGCAGCUGGUGUUUGACCCGUUCCCGGUGUGCGCCGACUACGGCGGCGGCUUCGCCGAGGACCUCAGCGCGGCGAACGCUGCGGCAUUCUACGGGCAGUUCGGCGGCGGCAAGGAGGGCGCGGACGACGACGCCGGGUUCGGCACCGGCGACUACAGCUGUGUCCUGGACGUGUCAGAGAACCUGGGCUACGGGGAGAGCUCGAGCAACAGCAGCAACUGGAACUACGGCGGCGAGGUUGGAAACGUGCUCGACGGCGAGGUGCUGGACUGGGCAAAGGCGGAGAUGGAGCGGCAACACGACCAACUGCUGGAGCACAAGUUUUUGCUGCCCUGCCCAGAACAGAGCCUGCUCGCAAAUUUCGAAUUCAAUUUGGAACAAUACUUCUGA